Long non-coding RNA from Mauremys mutica (yellowpond turtle), 419 nucleotides. RefSeq lists it as uncharacterized. The transcript has 3 exons. The record is from RefSeq and is a predicted model, not a curated record. Lineage: Eukaryota; Metazoa; Chordata; Testudines; Geoemydidae.
ACUUCUUCAUUGCAACUCAAUAUGAAGCAACUAUACAUCAUUUCUGCCACUAUGUGGAGCUGUGUGAAAAUAUAAAUUAGCAGCACUGGGUAUGUGCAAUAACAUGAUUCCAAGAUGGUGUAUUCCAGCAGUGAGCAAGUGGUGGUAGUUUCUCCUGGGAUACAGCAGAAGCUCAGCACAGUAGCUCCCUAAGCUCCCAGUCUGGAUGUUCUGGGAUUUGUCUCACAUGCCAUGGCUCAAACUCUUUAUUGUGGAUGCAUCAGGCUUCAGCACUGGCAAGGGCAAGAGCCGAACAGUAACAUUGGUCUCCAAUGAUGAAAUGCAGAUUCCAACUCCAGAUCACAUCCCAUCCAAGCCCCAUUUGACAGCAUCAAACUCCACAAAACUGAGCAAACUCCAGCUGCUUCACUAGAGGAAAG